UACAGUCAAAUCACUUUGAAAGCAUUGGUUUUCAUUCAUUCACCAAAGUUAAGCAAUGAUGAGCUGGGUCAGUACUUAUAUGGGGGACCACUUGGGAACACUGGGUACUGUAA
This is a non-coding RNA of Acanthosepion pharaonis, 113 nucleotides long. The record is from the annotation of a GenBank genome assembly. NCBI's taxonomy places the organism in Eukaryota, Metazoa, Mollusca, Cephalopoda, Sepiida, Sepiidae.